CACGCCGUAAACGAUGAGUGCUAGGUGUUAGGGGGUUUCCGCCCCUUAGUGCUGAAGUUAACGCAUUAAGCACUCCGCCUGGGGAGUACGGCCGCAAGGCUGAAACUCAAAAGAAUUGACGGGGGCCCGCACAAGCGGUGGAGCAUGUGGUUUAAUUCGAAGCAACGCGAAGAACCUUACCAGGUCUUGACAUCCCAUUGACCGCUAUGGAGACAUAGUUUCCCCUUCGGGGGCAAUGGUGACAGGUGG
RNAcentral lists this ribosomal RNA (249 nucleotides) under uncultured Caryophanales bacterium. RNAcentral's name for it is "uncultured Bacillales bacterium partial 16S ribosomal RNA". It matches the Rfam family "Bacterial small subunit ribosomal RNA", at positions 796 to 1041 of the family's 1533-position model. Lineage: Bacteria; Bacillati; Bacillota; Bacilli; Caryophanales. The record is from RNAcentral.